AGACCCGAAACCCGGUGAUCUAGCCAUGGGCAGGUUGAAGGUUGGGUAACACUAACUGGAGGACCGAACCGACUAAUGUUGAAAAAUUAGCGGAUGACCUGUGGCUGGGGGUGAAAGGCCAAUCAAACCGGGAGAUAGCUGGUUCUCCCCGAAAGCUAUUUAGGUAGCGCCUCGUGAAUUCAUCUCCGGGGGUAGAGCACUGUUUCGGCUAGGGGGCCAUCCCGGCUUACCAACCCGAUGCAAACUGCGAAUACCGGAGAAUGUUAUCACGGGAGACACACGGCGGGUGCUAACGUCCGUCGUGAAGAGGGAAACAACCCAGACCGCCAGCUAAGGUCCCAAAGUCAUGGUUAAGUGGGAAACGAUGUGGGAAGGCCCAGACAGCCAGGAUGUUGGCUUAGAAGCAGCCAUCAUUUAAAGAAAGCGUAAUAGCUCACUGGUCGAGUCGGCCUGCGCGGAAGAUGUAACGGGGCUAAACCAUGCACCGAAGCUGCGGCAGCGACGCUGAUGCGUUGUUGGGUAGGGGAGCGUUCUGUAAGCCUGUGAAGGUGGCCUGUGAGGGUUGCUGGAGGUAUCAGAAGUGCGAAUGCUGACAUAAGUAACGAUAAAGCGGGUGAAAAGCCCGCUCGCCGGAAGACCAAGGGUUCCUGUCCAACGUUAAUCGGGGCAGGGUGAGUCGACCCCUAAGGCGAGGCCGAAAGGCGUAGUCGAUGGGAAACGGGUUAAUAUUCCCGUACUUGGUGUUACUGCGAAGGGGGGACGGAGAAGGCUAUGUUGGCCGGGCGACGGUUGUCCCGGUUUAAGCGUGUAGGUGUGUGUUCCAGGUAAAUCCGGUUCACUUUAACACUGAGGCGUGACGACGAGGCACUACGGUGCUGAAGCAACAAAUGCCCUGCUUCCAGGAAAAGCCUCUAAGCAUCAGGUAACAUCAAAUCGUACCCCAAACCGACACAGGUGGUCAGGUAGAGAAUACCAAGGCGCUUGAGAGAACUCGGGUGAAGGAACUAGGCAAAAUGGUGCCGUAACUUCGGGAGAAGGCACGCUGACACGUAGGUGAAGUGAUUUACUCA
RNAcentral lists this ribosomal RNA (1070 nucleotides) under Salmonella enterica. RNAcentral's name for it is "partial 23S ribosomal RNA". It matches the Rfam family "Bacterial large subunit ribosomal RNA", at positions 711 to 1773 of the family's 2925-position model. Lineage: Bacteria; Pseudomonadati; Pseudomonadota; Gammaproteobacteria; Enterobacterales; Enterobacteriaceae. RNAcentral also lists the same sequence under 1 other name. The record is from RNAcentral.